GUGAGGAAUAUUGGUCAAUGGGCGGGAGCCUGAACCAGCCAAGUCGCGUGAAGGAAGAAGGAUCUAUGGUUCGUAAACUUCUUUUGCAGGGGAAUAAAGUGCAGGACGUGUCCUGUUUUGUAUGUACCCUGAGAAUAAGGAUCGGCUAACUCCGUGCCAGCAGCCGCGGUAAUACGGAGGAUCCGAGCGUUAUCCGGAUUUAGUGGGUUUAAAGGGUGCGUAGGUGGUUUGAUAAGUAAAAGGUGAAAGUUUGCAGCUUAACUGUAAAAAUGCCGUUGAAACUGUCGGACUUGAGUGUAAAUGAGGUAGGAGGAAUGCGUGGUGUAGCGGUGAAAUGCAUAGAUAUCACGCAGAACUCCGAUUGCGAAGGCAGCUUACUAAGCUACAACUGACACUGAAGCACGAAAGCGUGGGGAUCAAACAGGAUUAGAAACCCCGGUAGUCC
RNAcentral lists this ribosomal RNA (445 nucleotides) under uncultured bacterium. Its description in RNAcentral is "partial 16S ribosomal RNA". It matches the Rfam family "Bacterial small subunit ribosomal RNA", at positions 354 to 796 of the family's 1533-position model. The record is from RNAcentral.